Molecule: unclassified non-coding RNA, 335 nt
Filed under: soil metagenome
Description: partial contains 5.8S ribosomal RNA, internal transcribed spacer 2, and large subunit ribosomal RNA
Rfam family: 5.8S ribosomal RNA (bases 1-120)
Source: RNAcentral
GAUGAAGAACGCAGCGAAAUGCGAUAAGUAAUGUGAAUUGCAGAAUUCAGUGAAUCAUCGAAUGUUUGAACGCACAUUGCGCCCAUUAGCAUUCUAGUGGGCAUGCCUGUUCGAGCGUCAUUUCAACCCUUAAGCCCUGUUGCUUAGCGUUGGGAGCCUACAGUACUGUAGCUCCCCAAAGUUAGUGGCGGAGUCGGUUUCACACUCUAGACGUAGUAAUUUUUUCUCGUCUGUAGUUGAGCCGGUCCCCUGCCGUAAAACACCCAAUUUAUCAAGGUUGACCUCGGAUCAGGUAGGAAUACCCGCUGAACUUAAGCAUAUCAAUAAGCGGAGGA